Molecule: long non-coding RNA, 266 nt
Filed under: Gallus gallus (chicken)
Lineage: Eukaryota; Metazoa; Chordata; Aves; Galliformes; Phasianidae
Source: RNAcentral
GGCACAUCCAUUCUUCAGCCAACUGCUUCCUCUCCUGGAUGCUAAGGGACAGGCCUUCUCCUGUGGUGCCAUUCACAAAGAUGUUCUUCACAUUCUGCUCGCUUACCAGGUAAUCCACAUACUGGUGAAUCACUGAAAGGUUGAUUCGUCCGUCAGGAGUCAUCGGGGUGACUGUGGCAGCGACCAGACCCUCCAGCUUCUUUCUGGGUGUCAUCGAGCUCCACAACCCGCGCCCGAAGCGCCCCGCCGGCUCCGGAGCGGCUGUG